AUGAGGACCGCCACCAGAUGGCGACAAACAAAAGAAAUCUUACCCAGUAGACAUAUAAAACAUAGGGUGAAUUUGGCUAAAGCGGGACACUUCAUAAUAUUAAAAAUACUAUUUUUUUUUCUCUCACCCCUAGGUCAUUUAAUCUAACAGGACACCUUUACUGAAAGCUUAAGAUCUCACUUACACUAUUCACAAACAAAAAUCAAGAAAUACCAAACACAAGUAGAAUCUUUGCUGUCAAAAUAGGGCUAAAAAUCAAGACAGAUGCUUGUAAUUUAAUGAACGUUUCAUUAUAAUGAAUUUUUCCCUGCAAUAUUUAAUGUUUAAUUGACUGGAUGCCGAAACUUCUGCGUUGUAAAAUUUACUUCCGGUGUAAAAAUUUUUUUUUAACAGUGCAGAGAUUACAAACUGCAGUUUUAUCAUCAUUCCACACAAGAGACAUCAUCUUUACACACAGCAUGAAAUCGAUGUGUUUUCGCGUCCUCUUUUGAUUGACAGGCCAUAAUCGACCCUGAUUUUCGGAUGUUUUUUUGAUGGUUUCUGCAUCAUCUAUGGGAUGCAGUGGAGAAGACUGUCGAUGCUCUAGUGUGGAAGAACUUAAGGAUUUUUUGGUUGAAACUUGGAGGAAACUUCCACCUCAACUGUUACAGAAGUUGGCUGAUUCUGUGUCCAGAAGUUAUAUGAAAUUAACAAUGGCAAAUGAAAUACUAAAACACUAACUUAUCUUUAAUGAGGCCACUUCUGAUUGGCUAAUUGGGCCCAAUUUGGACAUUUUCACUUAGGGGUGUACUCACUUUUGUUGGCAGCGGUUUAGACAUUAAUGGCUGUGUGUUGAGUUAUUUUGAGGGGACAGCAAAUUUACACUGUUACACAAGCUGUACACUCACUACUUUACAUUGUAGCAAAGUGUCAUUUCUUCAGUGUUGUCACAUGAAAAGAUAUAAUCAGAUAUUUACAAAAAUAUGAGGGGUGUACUCACUUUUGUGAGAUACUGUAAUUGGACCAUAAUCUGCAUGCACCCAAAAUGUGUAUCCUUGAGGGUACCAAUGGCUAUAUAAUAUGUUAGCUAAACAUUUUCCAAAUGGAAUUUAUCAAUCUUUAAGACAGUCAUAUAUUAUCUCACUAACAACACACUUUCCUGUGUCACACAGAAGAGCCAGAGAGAAAUCCCAUGCUACUGGGAAAACCAGAAAGAGGGUUGCCAAAAACAGGACUGUGCUUUUAAGCACACGAAGCCACAAUCCAUCAGAUGGCAUCCUGUUUUCCCAGCCAAAAGUAAAAACAAAGAUGAUGGGAUUGAGGUCUUUAUCAAAGCAUUUUGAGAAGUUUAAGCUGGAGGACAGUGUGAAGACCCGUAUAAGAACAGCUGGCCAGUGUCACGCGUGAGGUUUUUCCAGACCCAGGGAUGUUUGCUCUGAGAGGAAACUUUUGGAGGAGAUAUUUGAUGGCGUGUCGGAGCUGUUUCCAGAGAACCAAUCCCUGGUCCACUUGAAAAUUGUGGUCUAGUACAAACCCUGGUGUGUUAAUCAUCAUGUGGGGAAUACCUAUACAUCCAUAAAUUUUCUGUAUCGCAUAUUCUACACAGGGCUGAGGGGAGCUUGGAGCCUUUCCCAGGGGACUCGGGGCACAAGGUGGGGACACGCUGUAUGGGUUGCCAGCCUAUCGCAAGGCACAAAUACACACCCUUUCACACACCACAGACAAUUUUGAAAUGCCAAUCAGAGUAAAGCUCAUGUCUUUUGACUGGGGGGGGGGGGGGCAGAGUACCCAGAGGAAACCCCUAAAUCACGGGGGAGAACAUGCAAACUCCAUGCACACAGGGCGGAAGCAAAUGUGCUAAGCACUAAGCCAGGGAAUACAUGUUUCGAAAGGAAUUCUUCUAUGUCAAAGCAGACUUGCAAUCUUUCCCCCAGUCAAGUCCAGAAUCCGUACUGGGUGUGGAGUCAAGUAUUUGGGGCCAAGUGUGUUAAAACACCCUUAGUUAUCUGCAAUGCAAUAAUUCAUUUCGCAUUUGUGUCCUACUUUACAAGGUCUCCUGCUUUUGAGGACCUGACAUAGUCUAUCAGUAACGCAGGCACCUUCUGGUGUGAGACUUUCCAGGAAGAGAAAGAAGCAUCUGCUCAGCUGAUGAGUUAACCUAGAUGAGUGUUAAGGUGACGCAUUGAGUUCAACUACAGGGGUCAUAUUCAUGAAACUGAAGUGAAUCUGAAUCAUUACCAAACACGCCAAAACUAAAUUUAGUUGUGUGUGUGAAGUAGUGACCCUGUAUAUGGUGCACAGUGGCUGAAACAUGAAGCCAAAUUGUUUCGCUUCCCUUCUAGUUUCACCAUCUUUAAGUGAGGAGAUCAGACACCAUCCACUUUAAGAUGGAUAACUACAAGUAAAAUUGCAUUCUUAUAUUUUCUGGAAGUUCCUAUGAUUUGUUCCUGCAGGGGUUAGGGUACAAUACAGUUGCAGUCAAAAUUAUUCAACCCCAUUGCAAAUCAGCUUUAUUGUCAAAAUUUACAAUUUCAGCUGUUUGCAAUGAACAAAUCAAACAAAAGCCAUUGAAAGAGUUCAACACAACGAAUGCUUCAAGUGGUUUCCCCAAAUUCAACUGAAAAUGCAAUAAUGACUUCUCCAGUUUCAAAAAUAUUCAACCCCCUGAAUAGAAUCAGUCACAACAGCACAAAUAUGCAAAACAGGUGUUUUUGUUGUGCUUGAGCUGGAACACAAAUACCUGAACUGGCUAGGGGUAGAAAAUGUAUGAAAUACCUGGACGGGGCAGAAAAAGGAAGCUAUCAAUGACUGCAACCAGAUUUCUGAGAAGGCAGGUUGUGAAAAACCCUCGAGUGACUGCAAAAGACCUGCAGCAAGAUUUGGUGACAACAGGUACCGAGGUUUCAGUGAGUACAGUAAGACGUAUACUAAACGCAGAAGGUUCCCAUGCCAGAACUCCAAGAUGUACACCAUUACCGACCCAAAAGCAUAAGAAAAGGUGGCUCAAAAUCAUAUAAAUAAGACACACAAGUUUUGGGAUUCUGUUCUGUGGAGCGAUGAAACAAACCUGGAACUUUUUGGCAUGAUGGAUCAGCGGUAUGUCUGGAGGAAGAACAAUGAAGAAAGAACACUAUGUCCACAGUCAAGCAUGGUGGUGGCUCGGUGAUGCUCUGGGGCUGCUUUGCAUCCUCUGGCACUGGAAACCUGCAGCGUGUGGAAGGCAAGAUGGAUUCAUUGAAGUAUCAGGAAAUCCUCGGAGAAAACGUCAUGCCGUCCGUGAGGAAGCGGAAGCUUGGGUGUCAUAGGAUCUUCCAACAAGACAAUGAUCCCAAGCAUACCUCAAAUUCCACCAAGGCUUGGUUGCAGAAGAAGUCCUGGAAGAUUCUACAGGGCCAUCACAGUCACCUGACUUGAACCCCAUAGAAAAUCUCUGGUGGGAUUUGAAGAAGGCGGUUGCAGCACGCAAACCCAAGAAUAUUACUGACCUGGAGGCCAGUGCUCAUGAGGAACGGGUUAAGAUUCCUCAGGAACGCGGCCAGAAGCUCUGCAUCUCAUUUGCAGCAGGUCAUAACAGAAAAAGGAUGAUCUACUAAGUACUAAAGAUGCUUGCCAUGAAGGGGUUGAAUAAUUUUGAGACUGGAGAAAUCAUUACAAGUUGCAUUUUCAGUUGAAUUUGGGGAAACCACUUGAAGCAUUCUUUGUGUUGAACUCUUUCAGUGGCUUUUGUUUGAUUUGUUCAUUGCAAACAGCUGAAAGUCUGUACAUUUUUACAAUAAACCUGAAUUGCAAUGGGGGUUGAAUAAUUUUGAUUGCAACUGUAUAUAGAAUUGUCUCAAAACCACUAUCUGAGCAUCAGCUCUCAGUGACUGUAGCAGUGUUUGUCAUUAAAAAAAAACUAAAUGAUUAUGAUUUGUGGAUUUUUUUUGUCAUGCACUGAAGCUAGUCUAACUGACAGAAAUUUUCUUUUGUAACUCAGUCUCUUAACAUUUUGUGAAGAC
Ictalurus furcatus (blue catfish) is the source of this 3977-nucleotide long non-coding RNA. RefSeq lists it as uncharacterized. NCBI's taxonomy places the organism in Eukaryota, Metazoa, Chordata, Actinopteri, Siluriformes, Ictaluridae. The record is from RefSeq and is a predicted model, not a curated record. The transcript has 3 exons.